RNA transcript from Fukomys damarensis (Damara mole-rat), 3281 nucleotides. It is a transcript of the gene named Rho GTPase activating protein 42, with no coding region annotated. The record is from RefSeq and is a predicted model, not a curated record. Lineage: Eukaryota; Metazoa; Chordata; Mammalia; Rodentia; Bathyergidae. The transcript is spliced from 25 exons.
CUGCCCGACUCGCCCGGGCCGCGGCUGGCAGCGCCUGUGCCAUGGGGUUGCCCACUCUGGAGUUCAGCGAUUCCUACUUGGACAGCCCGGAUUUCAGGGAGCGACUGCAGUGUCACGAGAUUGAGUUGGAGCGAACUAACAAGUUCAUCAAAGAGCUCAUUAAGGACGGCUCCCUACUCAUCGGGGCGCUGAAGAAUCUAUCUAUAGCAGUACAGAAAUUUUCCCAGUCCUUACAAGACUUCCAAUUCGAAUGUAUUGGUGAUGCCGAAACAGAUGAUGAAAUUAGUAUUGCUCAAUCACUAAAAGAAUUUGCAAGGCUACUUAUUACAGUAGAAGAAGAAAGACGGAGACUGAUUCAAAAUGCUAAUGAUGUAUUAAUUGCGCCACUUGAGAAAUUUCGGAAAGAACAGAUAGGUGCAGCAAAAGAUGGAAAGAAGAAAUUUGACAAGGAGAGUGAAAAAUACUAUUCUAUUCUUGACAAGCAUUUGAAUUUGUCUGCAAAGAAAAAGGAAUCUCAUUUGCAAGAGGCAGAUACACAGAUUGACCGAGAGCAUCAAAACUUCUAUGAAGCAUCAUUGGAAUAUGUCUUUAAAAUUCAAGAGGUUCAAGAAAAGAAGAAGUUUGAAUUUGUUGAGCCGCUUUUGUCGUUCCUUCAAGGUUUAUUUACUUUUUAUCAUGAGGGAUAUGAACUUGCCCAGGAAUUUGCACCAUAUAAGCAACAGCUACAGUUCAACUUGCAGAAUACAAGGAAUAAUUUUGAAAGUACACGACAAGAGGUAGAGCGGUUGAUGCAAAGGAUGAAAUCUGCCAACCAAGAUUACAGACCACCUAGCCAGUGGACAAUGGAAGGCUACCUUUAUGUCCAGGAGAAACGACCACUUGGUUUCACAUGGAUUAAACAUUACUGUACAUAUGAUAAGGGAAGUAAAACAUUUACAAUGAGUGUUUCAGAAAUGAAAUCCAGUGGGAAAAUGAAUGGCCUUGUUACUAGCUCGCCAGAAAUGUUUAAGUUAAAAUCUUGCAUCCGACGAAAGACAGAUUCAAUUGACAAACGAUUCUGCUUUGACAUAGAAGUAGUUGAAAGGCAUGGGAUCAUCACAUUACAAGCCUUCUCUGAAGCUAAUAGGAAACUCUGGCUUGAAGCCAUGGAUGGGAAGGAACCGAUUUACACGCUGCCUGCCAUUAUUAGCAAGAAAGAAGAAAUGUACUUAAAUGAGGCAGGAUUCAACUUUGUGAGAAAGUGUAUUCAAGCUGUAGAAACAAGAGGUAUCACCAUUUUAGGACUCUACCGAAUAGGGGGAGUGAACUCCAAGGUUCAGAAACUCAUGACCACCACAUUUUCCCCCAAAUCCCCUCCCGAUAUUGACAUUGAUAUCGAACUGUGGGACAAUAAGACAAUAACGAGUGGACUGAAAAACUACCUCAGGUGCCUUGCAGAACCACUGAUGACUUACAAGUUGCACAAAGAUUUUAUUGUUGCUGUUAAAUCAGAUGAUCAGAACUACAGGGUGGAGGCUGUACAUGCAUUGGUGCACAAACUGCCAGAGAAAAACAGAGAGAUGCUGGACAUCUUAAUAAAGCACCUGGUCAAAGUAUCACUGCACAGCCAGCAAAACCUCAUGACUGUCUCAAAUCUUGGUGUCAUAUUUGGUCCAACUCUGAUGCGAGCACAGGAAGAAACUGUGGCUGCCAUGAUGAAUAUUAAAUUUCAGAAUAUAGUGGUUGAAAUUCUGAUAGAGCAUUAUGAGAAGAUUUUUCACACUGCACCAGACCCAAACGUUCCCCUCCCUCAGCCUCAGUCUCGAUCUGGAUCCCGAAGAGCCCGAGCAAUUUGCCUCUCAACAGGCUCCCGGAAACCCAGAGGGCGGUAUACUCCAUGCCUAGCAGAGCCUGAUAGUGACUCCUAUAGCAGCAGCCCAGACAGCACGCCCAUGGGCAGUAUUGAGUCACUCUCCUCUCACUCCUCUGAACAAAAUAGCACUACAAAGUCAGCUUCCUGCCAGCCCAGGGAGAAAUCUGGAGGGAUACCUUGGAUUGCAACCCCAUCAUCUUCCAAUGGACAGAAAAGCCUUGGUCUGUGGACAACUAGUCCUGAAUCAAGUUCUCGAGAAGAUGCGAUGAAAACAGAUGCAGAGUCCGAUUGCCAGAGUGUUGCCUCAGUCACCAGCCCAGGGGAUGUUUCCCCUCCUAUAGACCUAGUCAAGAAGGGGCCUUAUGGGCUUUCAGGACUGAAAAGAACCUCUGCUUCCUCCCUCAAAUCCAUCUCUGCUUCUGAAGGAAACAAGAGCUACAGUGGAUCUAUACAAAGCUUAACUUCUGUAGGUUCCAAGGAGACAUCCAAAGCCACACCAAACCCAGAACUUCCUCCAAAAAUGUGUAGGAGGUUAAGGCUGGACAUUGCCUCAAGCAAUGGCUAUCAGCGACCUGGUUCAGUAGUGGCAGCAAAGGCUCAACUAUUUGAAAAUGUUGGCUCACUUAAGCCUAUUUCAUCUGGGCGACAAGCCAAAGCCAUGUACUCCUGUAAAGCAGAGCACAGCCAUGAGCUGUCCUUCCCCCAGGGGGCAAUAUUUUCUAAUGUAUACCCAUCAGUGGAACCAGGAUGGUUAAAGGCAACUUAUGAAGGCAAAACAGGACUAGUUCCAGAAAAUUAUGUUGUCUUCCUCUAAUACUCUUUAGUGGAUGGCAGAAUCUUCAUGGUAUCCAUGGUAACAAAUGAUAAGUGCUAUGAUUUUAUCUGACACAGAUAGGGUGAUCAGCCCACCAAAUGAAAACAGUCAAUUUCUACCAAGUUCUUCACCAGCAGACUACAGAGUUCCCUAGAGCUAGAGUUUAAACUUGCCCUGCUUAUGGAUGGGCUAAUCACUUCCAAAAAUUAUUGAGUAUGGAAAGCUGUCAUAACAUUACAGCGAAGAAAGGUAACAGCCUGUUGUAAUGCUGUGAUGAAUGUUACCACCUUGACACCAUUUCAUUGACUUACACCCUGGUAUGUAAAGAGCACUGGUGCUUCUUUCGCAAACCCACAACUCCAAUGUAGUCAUGAAGAAAACAUCAGACACACCCAGAUGAAAGACAUUCUACAGGAUAUUUGUGAACCCAGAACUCCUCAAGAUUAUUAAGGUCAUACAAAAUAAAGAAAUGCUGAGAAGUUGUCAGAUCAGAGGAGCCACAGGAGAAGGGACAUCUGAAGACAAUGUGGAACACUGUAUUGGCUCCUGGAAGAGAAAAAAAAAAAAACAAUGAAAAACUGAUGAUGUUCAAAUAAAGCCUAAUGUUUAGUAAUU